RNAcentral lists this ribosomal RNA (484 nucleotides) under uncultured bacterium. RNAcentral's name for it is "partial 16S ribosomal RNA". It matches the Rfam family "Bacterial small subunit ribosomal RNA", at positions 30 to 507 of the family's 1533-position model. The record is from RNAcentral.
AUUGAACGCUGGCGGCAGGCCUAACACAUGCAAGUCGAGCGGAUGAAGGGAGCUUGCUCCUGGAUUCAGCGGCGGACGGGUGAGUAAUGCCUAGGAAUCUGCCUGGUAGUGGGGGAUAACGUCCGGAAACGGGCGCUAAUACCGCAUACGUCCUGAGGGAGAAAGUGGGGGAUCUUCGGACCUCACGCUAUCAGAUGAGCCUAGGUCGGAUUAGCUAGUUGGUGGGGUAAAGGCCUACCAAGGCGACGAUCCGAAACUGGUCUGAGAGGAUGAUCAGUCACACUGGAACUGAGACACGGUCCAGACUCCUACGGGAGGCAGCAGUGGGGUAUAUUGGACGAUGGGCGAAAGCCUGAUCCAGCCAUGCCGCGUGUGUGAAGAAGGUCUUCGGAUUGUAAAGCACUUUAAGUUGGGAGGAAGGGCAGUAAGUUAAUACCUUGCUGUUUUGACGUUACCAACAGAAUAAGCACCGGCUAACUUCGUG